Molecule: ribosomal RNA, 428 nt
Filed under: uncultured prokaryote
Description: bacterial SSU rRNA
Rfam family: Bacterial small subunit ribosomal RNA
Source: RNAcentral
UGAGGAAUUUUGCGCAAUGGGGGAAACCCUGACGCUGCGACGCCGCGUGGGUGAUGAAGGUCUUCGGAUCGUAAAACCCUGUCGAGAGGGACGAAUAGCUUGGGUGUCAAUACCAUCCAAGCCUGACUGUACCUCUGGAGGAAGCCCCGGCUAACUCCGUGCCAGCAGCCGCGGUAAUACGGAGGAUCAAAGCGUUAUCCGGAUUUAUUGGGUUUAAAGGGUGCGUAGGCGGGCCCUUAAGUCAGUGGUGAAAGUUUGCAGCUUAACUGUAAAAUUGCCAUUGAAACUGAGGGUCUUGAGUGUAAAUAAGGUAGGCGGAAUGUGUUGUGUAGCGGUGAAAUGCUUAGAUAUAACACAGAACACCAAUUGCGAAGGCAGCUUACUGGGAUACAACUGACGCUGAGGCACGAAAGCGUGGGGAUCAAACA